This 449-nucleotide ribosomal RNA is filed under the name uncultured bacterium. RNAcentral describes it as "partial 16S ribosomal RNA". It matches the Rfam family "Bacterial small subunit ribosomal RNA", at positions 29 to 523 of the family's 1533-position model. The record is from RNAcentral.
AACGAACGCUGGCGGCAUGCCUAACACAUGCAAGUCGAACGAGAUCUUCGGGUCUAGUGGCGCACGGGUGCGUAACGCGUGGGAAUCUGCCCUUUGGUUCGGAAUAACAGUUGGAAACGACUGCUGAUACCGGAUGAUGACGAAAGUCCAAAGAUUUAUCGCCAGAGGAUGAGCCCGCGUAGGAUUAGCUAGUUGGUGUGGUAAAGGCGCACCAAGGCGACGAUCCUUAGCUGGUCUGAGAGGAAGAUCAGCCACACUGGGACUGAGACACGGCCCAGACUCCUACGGGAGGCAGCAGUGGGGAAUAUUGGACAAUGGGCGAAAGCCUGAUCCAGCAAUGCCGCGUGAGUGAUGAAGGCCUUAGGGUUGUAAAGCUCUUUUACCCGGGAUGAUAACGACAGUACCGGGAGAAUAAGCUCCGGCUAACUCCGUGCCAGCCGCCGCGGUAA